Molecule: ribosomal RNA, 301 nt
Filed under: uncultured bacterium
Lineage: Bacteria
Description: partial 16S ribosomal RNA
Rfam family: Bacterial small subunit ribosomal RNA
Source: RNAcentral
CAGUAGCCGCGGUAAAACAGAGGGUGCAAGCGUUAAUCGGAAUUACUGGGCGUAAAGCGCGCGUAGGUGGUUUGUUAAGUUGGAUGUGAAAUCCCCGGGCUCAACCUGGGAACUGCAUCCAAAACUGGCAAGCUAGAGUAUGGUAGAGGGUGGUGGAAUUUCCUGUGUAGCGGUGAAAUGCGUAGAUAUAGGAAGGAACACCAGUGGCGAAGGCGACCACCUGGACUGAUACUGACACUGAGGUGCGAAAGCGUGGGGAGCAAACAGGAUUAGAUACCCCGGUAGUCCCUGUCUCUUAUAC